This 192-nucleotide long non-coding RNA is filed under the name Mustela putorius furo (domestic ferret). RNAcentral describes it as "lncRNA (ENSMPUG00000029634.1)". Lineage: Eukaryota; Metazoa; Chordata; Mammalia; Carnivora; Mustelidae. The record is from RNAcentral.
GGACCGGGGGCUUUUAGCCUCAUGCAGUGUCACUCUUCAUUUUGUGACUGGGUCUUGACCUCCGUGGAUUCUUUUGGUUUUGGCAGGUCUAAGAGGCAGUGGCCCCUGAGCCACAGGGCUUUGUGGACAGUAAAGUGAGAGCCAGAGCGCAGGCAGGGGCAGGGAGGGGUGGAGGGAGCGAGAGAAUCUCAG